AGAGUAAGUCAGCUUAAUCCAGCACAUAAGUUAAAGCUGGAGCGGAGAAACCAAAUUUUGGGGCGUAUCUUUCAGAAAGUGACCAUUUAAGAGCAAAAAGUGAAAAAUUAAUCAAUAUUCAACUCAUCACUUAGCACUCAAAACUCACUAUUCCUGAAAGAGGGACAUCUCUCAGUCCUAGCCCGUCAGCUAACUUCGUAAGCAUUGAGAGGAGACUGA
RNAcentral lists this small RNA (219 nucleotides) under Anabaena cylindrica. RNAcentral's name for it is "c-di-AMP sequence". It matches the Rfam family "c-di-AMP riboswitch aptamer (ydaO/yuaA leader)". From Rfam's summary of the family: This family represents a conserved RNA structure found upstream of the ydaO and yuaA genes in Bacillus subtilis and related genes in other bacteria. The ydaO/yuaA element is thought to act as a genetic "off" switch for the ydaO and yuaA genes in its native state. Lineage: Bacteria; Bacillati; Cyanobacteriota; Cyanophyceae; Nostocales; Nostocaceae. RNAcentral also lists the same sequence under 1 other name. The record is from RNAcentral.